GGCAGACGGGUGAGUAACAUGUGGGUAUCUACCCUUUGGCCUGGAAUAACACGAGGAAACUUGUGCUAAUACUGGAUAAGUCUUUACGGAGAAAGCUUUAUGCACCAUUGGAUGAGCCUGCACUUGAUUAGUUUGUUGGUGGGGUAAUGGCCUACCAAGACUGUGAUCAAUAGCUGAUUUGAGAGGAUGAUCAGCCACAUUGGGACUGAGACACGGCCCAAACUCCUACGGGAGGCAGCAGUGGGGAAUCUUGCACAAUGGAGGAAACUCUGAUGCAGCGAUGCCGCGUGAGUGAAGAAGGCCCUUGGGUUGUAAAGCUCUUUCGUCGGGGAAGAAAAUGACUGUACCCGAAUAAGAAGGUCCGGCUAACUUCGUGCCAGCAGCCGCGGUAAUACGAAGGGACCUAGCGUAGUUCGGAAUUACUGGGCUUAAAGAGUUCGUAGGUGGUUGAAAAAGUUGGUGGUGAAAUCCCAGAGCUUAACUCUGGAACUGCCAUCAAAACUUUUCAGCUAGAGUAUGAUAGAGGAAAGCAGAAUUUCUAGUGUAGAGGUGAAAUUCGUAGAUAUUAGAAAGAAUACCAAUUGCGAAGGCAGCUUUCUGGAUCAUUACUGACACUGAGGAACGAAGCAUGGGUAGCGAAGAGGAUUAGAUACCCUCGUAGUCCAUGCCGUAAACGAUGUGUGUUAGACGUUGGAAAUUUAUUUUCAGUGUCGCAGCGAAAGCGAUAAACACAC
RNAcentral lists this ribosomal RNA (734 nucleotides) under uncultured marine bacterium. Its description in RNAcentral is "bacterial SSU rRNA". It matches the Rfam family "Bacterial small subunit ribosomal RNA", at positions 97 to 869 of the family's 1533-position model. The record is from RNAcentral.